GCCAACGGCCACUCCACGUUGAAAACACCAGUUCUCGUCCGAUCACUGAAGUUAAGCAACGUCGGGCCCGGUUAGUACUUGGAUGGGUGACCGCCUGGGAACCCCGGGUGCUGUUGGUA
RNAcentral lists this ribosomal RNA (119 nucleotides) under Orchesella cincta. The record is from RNAcentral. Lineage: Eukaryota; Metazoa; Arthropoda; Collembola; Entomobryomorpha; Orchesellidae.